AAGACUAGAUCGAGGAAGAGAAAGGGUGAACGGUCAAGUACCAGGUGCUGCAGCAGUCCCCCUUGGUUAAAGGCCCUUCAGCUUUCAGUCACACACAGACCUCCCAGUCUGCUUCUCCCUGUGGAAUAAGCCACACGAAAUCAAGCAGCCCUGGCCCCAAGUCCCAGAAGGCAGGUGAACGGGGGCUAUGAAGUAACUGCUGCCCCAAUGCCAUAGAGAAGCUUUUGCAGUGGUUACAGAAUGAGCCAAGAGACCUGGUGAAAUCAUGGACACCAGCUGAUCAGUCCUUAAGGGCGCUGAUUCACUCACCACCUAGUGUUCAGCCAGAGUUCUAGUAAGACACAGAAGGAAGCAGGGCCAGACCCAAGAAACCCAAGCCCAGUGAGUCCCCAUAUGAUUGCUGUGUUCCCAGCACUGCUGAUCAUCACAAUGAUGGGAUGUCAGCCUCCUGACAGACUGACUCUGGCAGGAAGAGGCAUCUGACCAAAAGGAGAGAGUUUGUUUAUAUGUAACAGAAAAGGAAAGACACAGGGCGGAUUGAUGUGGUGCUGGAAAUUUAAGUUUCCACAGCAUAGCAGGGCCUCUAACAUUUAGCCAUCAGUGGGGGCAAAUACAGAUUGGUCUCAGAUUUACCAGUGCUUUAGCAACUUCAGGCUUUUGACUGUACAAAGAAACCCCUGAAGGGAAACCACUGAAUGACAUGUAUUCGGGUACAUUUAACAGCCAAGUGCAUGCAAAUAUGCCACAAUAACCUUCCCAUCCCUCAGAUUCCCCCAGCAACACAAUCACCAGGAGGCCUUUCCUCCAAUCACAAUUAGCACAAUGGUUCAGAUGGGAUUAUGAACAUGCAAGAUUAGUAAUUCAGGGUGCAAACAUCAUGUUUGAUGCAGGGUUUCAGGCUGCCACUUUGGAGCAGCAUCAGGUGUGACAACUCCUAGUAGACUGGUGCUUUGCCAGAAGAGGGAGUCUUUACAAACUAAUUUUUGCACUGGCUCACACAUAUUUCUCCCUGUGCUCAGCACCAGCAGCUCAGGUUGAGAGGAGAAUUCCAGGUGGCGAUCGUGAAAGAGUCAAUGUUAAUUGGACCCAGCCAGCCAGGAAGAAGCAUCUGCUAGCAAUAAUGUGAAUGCUGUUAGUGUUAAAGAGAUGGUCUCAUUUGGUACUGCAUUGCCGAAGAAGAGACUGAGGGUGCCUUUACAGCAGCCUGUGACAGCACCAUCUCUUCUGUGCAAAAGCCUCUGAUUUCAAAGAAACCCAGGGCCCCAAGCCUCUGGAUCCCAUUAUUCUCUACCCAAGAACAGAAAUCUGUAGCUAUAUUAUAGAAGUAAUCACUGAGACCAGCCCUUUAUAAUUCACCUCUUGGCACGGGGCACAUGGGACCAUCACAGGACUGUAUUUGGCUGUCCCAGCUCCCAGUGCCAAGACUUAAACAGGAGGCGCAGGCUUCCAAAGCAGGGUUCAAAAUGUACGCACACUUCCCCUGUACUCGGAGCAAAGGCUUGUAAGGGGUGGCGCUGAGAGAGGACGGUCAUACUAGUGGGUACAACCCAGGAUCCAAAACAGAAACGUCUUUCCCUUUGAAGUGCUUCACAAAUAGCAAACAGGGCAAAAGCCAAGAUUAAUCUUGGUCACCUACUUGAUCCUGUAACAAGAUCAAAAAGUAGCGCUUGCAAGGUGAGAGGGAGAAGAGCCCUUCCUCACACACGCAGAUCAGAAUCAUUGGCAAAGGGCAUGGUUCUGGGAUGUGCCUUCCAAGUUUGCCACAGGGUGAAAGUCCCUGUUGAAGUCACAUUCACACAGCAUGGCUAGUUCACACAAGGCAAAAUUGAGCUAAGGUGGAACCUCUCCCAUCAUUCAGAGACCAGAGCAGAUUCAGAGCAGAAUUGCAGGCUCUGCAUAGGCACCAUCUCCCACCUGCUGCACCUUCCAGUUAGAGGCUCAGCAGUACCACUGAGGAAGCUCAAUCAGGUUUUUAAAUUGGGUUUGGAUUAAAGACACUGAUGAGCCCAGGUGGCCUUGAUUAGGACAAUUCAGAACCCUGCUUUAGAAAUCCAAAAGACUUCUCAGCAUCAGUUUUUGGGUCAACUACCAGUAUCCAAAGCCACAAAACCCCAAGUGCAUCUACAACCCACUUAUUCUCAAACAAGCAGAGGGGCCAUGUGCAGCCAAUCAGGGUCUUGCUUCAAGACAGAAUUAAGGUUGACAACAGGGCAAGUGACUUACUAUAGGUGCCCAUGACAGAAGACGGGCACUUGGGGCUGUGGGACUUUAGUUCUGGAGGGAUCUGUGGAGCAGCUAAACAAAACAAACAAACACAAUUUAGAAACGAACAGCAGCAGCAGAAUAAAGGCCCCCAGCAGUGACUUUACCAGGCCAAGCCUGGGAUAACUGAGCCACAGCUCGGACAUCGAGGGUCCCUCUUAGUCGAAUCCACGGAGAAGGAUGCUAAGCUGAAGGCCAUGUCCAGGGAGCACAUCAUGGCACUUGGCAUAUGCUCUCCCUACUCCGAGGACAUUUCAGGGAGUAAUCCAUCUGAUGCUGAAACACUGGAUCCUCAACCUGCCUCCUGGCCUUCCUGGCACUGAGAGGGUUAACAGGUUUGGGAAGCUAAGGCUGGAUAGACCUCUGGUCCUGAAACACCAGCCACACAACAUCCACUGUGAAGAACAGAUGUUUUGUCUCUGCAGCCCCCUCUAUCCCACUGCUGCCAAGAUAGGGACAGAGCUCCCAGAGUCAGGCUGUAUUAAACACGUUGUAGUAUUGGAAUCUGCCAUCAUUUUCUCCAGUUCUCCAUGGGUGAGAGCACCAAAGGGAGAAUGAAAAGAAGCAGGAAAGUGCUGUUCGUGCUCCCAGCAGAGCCUGAAUGGCCUGUCCCAGACCAGGAAUUGCUGGUGCGGCCGGGGAUUGGGUAGGGUAAGGGCGGCUCUUGAAUAAAACAUUCUUACACGAAAGAGACAAGACAGUUUCUCCAGUGCAACACCUGGGACAGUCUCCAAGCAGCAGGUGCUCCCUUAGCAGGCAGAGCAAAAACACAGAUCCUCGGUACAGGGGACUGUCCCCAAGGGGGUGUCACCUCUCCCCAGGGUCCUCGUGGGGCCCCAAGUACUGCUGCUGGAAUCUGCAGGAAGACCCUGCAUGCGUACAGCAAAGGGCUGCUUUUACUAAUCAGCGGCUUGUUUCAGGUCCAUUACAGCAAAGGCAACUGAUGAAGCACAAGAGGGGCUCUGCAGCCAGACUGCAACAGCGAUGGCCCUUCAGAUGGCAUCCACACCCUUGCUUCUGUUUGUUUCACUUGAAGCACUUGGAACUGUGAUGUCCAGUUGCAGCUUUAAAACUAGUCUUCAUUCCAGGACACGCCCAGCCACUCAGUCUAGUGGCUAGCCAGAGAGCUAUGCCCUAGAAACACGGCCUGCCUGGCACAGGCUCCCCUGGGAUCCUGCUAACUGCCAUAGCUGCAUUCAAAAACCUCAGCUUCGGUGGGCGAUUGCAAACUGGCACCGAUCCAGCAGACCAACUUUCCAUUAAACGCACAAGGAUCUUACUGUCAGCUGCAGCUGCCACAGGGCAGGGCCACACAAACCACCCUGGGAGUUUUAUCACCAUCCUCUCAGCUGCCUUCCUAGCUAUGCUGGGCAAAUGGAAACCCCUACCCACGCCCCCUGAUGUCUGUACCCGAUGCCCUCUCCUUUGCCCUGCUCAUUUGGGUGGAGAUCAGAUGAGUGGCACUUUUACGCUCCCACACCCAGCCAUGGCGUGUCUUUGGCACUACACAGCUAUAAAAUCCUAUCGCAGUUACACAGGCCCUGCGGCAGACAGUCACCACCACCACAACAGCACCAGAACUCAAGGACUCUGGCUCCACGGACUUAUUGUGGGUUCUGGAUCUGAAGUGGAUGUUUAGCAGAUAUUUGUUCUUCUAGCUAUUGAGAAGAUAUUAAACAUUUUCUUUACCUUCUUGCGUGAUGCAGAUGGAGCCACUGCCCAUCCCGACCCUUAGAGCAUCGACCCCUGCAUCGAUCAGAUUCUUUGCCUGAGCAGCCGUCACCACUGAAGCAAACAGACGAAAGUUUUAAAAUGAGAACAUUGUCUCCUUUCACCAUUAGUAGCUAACCAGUUGCCCUAGCUUCCUGCAAAGGUGCUUCCUCCCUGAGGUGGGUUGCAGGAAAAGGGACCUCUCCACUUGCACAGCACCUUCCACUCGGGCAUCUCAAAAUGGCUUCCACAAACAGCACCCGAGUCAGCUUCGCAGCCCCGCAGCGAUCUAGGGCUGGAGAGUGCUCCCUUUUGGAGGCAGGCCCAUGGUGUCGGUGUGCAUGGUAACACAACAGGUCAUGCACAAAGUCAGUUUAAAAUCUCAACAGCAAUCCGGCACCAAAGGGCUGGUUCUCAACCAACCGACAAAUGUGUGCAUGCACCAGUCACCACAGCCAUGGCGUGUGCACACUGAACCUGGCUGACAAUCGGGCCUUGAUGUCCAACUGUUAAACCCUACCAUCUUGGUGUGCAGGGACCAGGGGUUAGCUUUACACUUACACAGCUGCCCCUCAAGGGGGAUGGGAGGAUCAGCCUGAUGUCAGAGCCUGGAUAGGGGUGGGGUUAGCCUAACAUGGUCCCUCCCAACAUGGUUCGCGUCUGGCCGAUUUCCCAGGGCCAUGCUUCUCUACUGCCCUUUUCACUGGCAUUGUACUGGCUGCUGAAUCCACAAAGUUCUGGAUGUUAAAGUGCUUCCCAUCUAUCCCAAUGGUGCAUGGGACUCAGUGUUGCAGCUAGACUAGUAAGGCCAUUAUAAUGCAUUGUACAAUGGCAGAGGAAGCAUGAGACAUGCUUACGGCCAUGCAGGGGACAAAAGGCUGGAGGAGACACUAUGGUGCGUUAGCAACACAUUUGGUAAUGCAGAUAAAAACAAGAGGAAAAGAGUUAAACUCUGCUCAGCCAGAUUCACAUGGAUGUUUCCAUUUAUUUUCCACACAAAGUAGGAGUCCUCCAAGAACCAGACACCUGAAAUUCUAGAAGGCUUUCUAACCAAUGUUACAGAGCCCAGAGAGAAAAGGAUCAAGGCUGGAAACAAGAGAACUGCAGGGGACUGCACACACGGCAUUAACCCUGAGUGAGAAGUUUUUACAUAGAAUGGAAAAGAAGUGUCCCUCAGGUGCUGAGGGGCUGUAGCAUAUUCUAUACAUCUGAGACAUCGGUCAAAAGUCCCACUGUACAGCUGACAGGGAUGCUCAUUUAAAGCAGUUCAACACAUCUUUCACUGCAACUGAAAACAGUCAAAGUCUAGAAGCUAAAAUCCCAUGUAGCAGAUUACCAUUGCCUCCAAUGACCUGCAGGUUAUGGUAUUUCUCCUUGAUAUACUUGAUCAUGUUGAUCUGGAAAAUGGAAUUGCCCUGAGAGGAAUCCUAGAAGAGAAAGAAAAACAAAAAUCAACCAAAAUAGCUAUAAAGGAUUUUAAAUCCAGUCCUAGGAGAGUCACAGAGACUUCAGCACAUUGCAAACAGGUGAUUAAUUCACUUCAGCACUGAAAGACCCCACUGCCCAGGCUCAGAAGGCCCCGAAGACACGAGCCACAAGAGAAAACCACCACAAACUUCCAUCUUACAGGACAUUUCAGCCUAAUGAAUGCAGGUCUCACAAGACAGACAAACACUCCCAGAGAUUAGAACAGCUCACACUGAGGGCUAGAUUCCAGUCCUCUCAAAUCUAAGAGCUGCAUUCUUUAGAGAAUUAUUUGUGUUUUGAGGCCUCAACUUGCGAACCCCAUGACAAGAGGAGGGCUGCCAAUCUCAUCCCGAGUGAGGUCACUAAUAUUUCCCUGAAAGAAAGGGUGUGGGGAGGUCAGUCCAAGCCCUUAGCACUGGAAUGGCAGCUAGCCACCUGUCUAUUCCUCAUCUUCCAAAUGGUCCUGUCCCACCCCCAAAAAAACCGCACAUGUCCACAUUACAGUCUACACAAGUGAGGAAGGAUGGUCCCAUGGUUAGAGCACUGGCCUUGGCUAGGAGACCAGGGUUCAAUUCCUGCUUUGCCACAAAUUGUCACUUAACAUCACUAUACCUGUCUCCCACCCCCAGAACUGGAAUGGCAGCACUGCCUGGCCUCAGAGGCGUCGUGAAGAUAAAAACUUGACGACGACUGUCAGGUGACGGGCCCCCCGAAGUAUCGAAUGCUGAAUUCAAAGAGACUCUUGAGAUGUUCAAGGAAGACUAUUCCCAACUCCCAUGCAGGCAGUUUGGUUUUUGUCACUCAUUUUACUCUGGGUGUGCCUUCACAGCACAGUCCGCUCCAGUUCCGACAAGUUAGCGCUCUGGUUACAGUGCCGGAACCAGCCUGCCUUGAGCGAGGCCACGUCUACCCUACAUGCGCCGAAGCGGUACUGCCGUAACCCUGUUUGCGCAGACACGGAGCUCGGCGACACCUGAAACGCUGCAGCACGUCAGUGUGGACACAGCCAGUGCUGACAGGCGGGGUUCUCUCCUCGGCACGGGGUAAUCCACCUCCCUGAGGAGCAGUAGCUAGGUCGACAGAAGAAUUUUUUCAUCAACCUAGCACUGUCUAUGUUGGGACUCAGGUCACCACCACCACUCAGGGGUGUGGAUUUUUUCAUACCCCUGAGCCACGUAGUUAAACUGACCUACAUGUCUACUGUAGACCAGACCAGACCACAGCCAUGGAAGGGGUUUUUCUGUCACCACAGGAACUCCACCUCCCUGGGCAAUGGCAACAUUCUUCCCUCGAACUAACGGAAGUUAGCAUAGCUACGGCACUCAGGCGUGGGAUUUUUCACACCUCUGAACACCAUAGCUCUGAUAAGCUAGGUUUUAAGGCCAGGCCUGACAGCAACCACACUUCAAAACAACACUGGUGUUACACAGAGAGCUCAUUAGUAGCACAGAGCAAUUGGAUUAGCUAUUGAGGAGAUAUAAAUUGAGCCGUUACAUCCCCACUGCAUUACUAGCUCCAGAGUCAGCAUCCCUGGAGUGCCACCUCCCCAUCCACCUCAUGAGAAAGCGAGCUUGAGCUUAAAGCACUGCUUAAUUCCAGCUAGAGAUUUUUGCAUGUGGACAGGAGUCAAGUUAGGGGUAAAAUGGGUUAUAACUCAAGUUACCUGUGUCGUGAAGACACACCUUAAGAGGACAGGGAAAGCUAGUCACCUUUUUCCCAGGGCAGGAGCAGUCCCUGCUUAUGGAGGCUCCACAUUAAGUGCACUGGCCCCCCUCAUUAGAAUGGGAGGGGGAAGGUGAUUCUGACUAAUCCAGCUAACUAACACGGCCUACUAAACAAGUGUUCUCUGGUAGAACACUGUAUAACCAUGCUCUGUGAAUAUCUCCCAUUUCCUUUAUAGAUGGGCUCUCAGACUAACCUAUCAACAACAAGGGCACGUGCAAACUCCUGUGCCCAAAUGAUCAGACACAAGGGGCUGACAGGACAGACUGCUGAGGAGUACUAUGUUGGUCCCUCUGUGUUAUUUGUUUUAAUUAUCAGAGUUCGGAAUAGGAAUACAGCAACUGAGAGGCUAGACUGUUAAGGGAACACAGUGAUAAAGCUCCAAUAGGAUACAGAGAAAUAAGAUCCAACCCACUAACAGCAAGACCAGCUUAAGGAGAUCUGAAAAAACAGCAGCUGGCAAUAGUGAGCCUAGUUCAGGACAGCUUAUUUAACACUGAAGCACAUUAUUUUAAACUGUCCAUUUUAAACCAAGUUUAACACCAACGAUGUCAUCUGUAUUAAAAAGUUAUUCUUCA
Chelonia mydas (Green sea turtle) is the source of this 7739-nucleotide long non-coding RNA. RefSeq lists it as uncharacterized. The transcript has 2 exons. NCBI's taxonomy places the organism in Eukaryota, Metazoa, Chordata, Testudines, Cheloniidae. The record is from RefSeq and is a predicted model, not a curated record.